RNAcentral lists this ribosomal RNA (164 nucleotides) under uncultured Stenotrophomonas sp. RNAcentral's name for it is "partial 16S ribosomal RNA". It matches the Rfam family "Bacterial small subunit ribosomal RNA", at positions 371 to 528 of the family's 1533-position model. Lineage: Bacteria; Pseudomonadati; Pseudomonadota; Gammaproteobacteria; Lysobacterales; Lysobacteraceae. The record is from RNAcentral.
AUGGGCGCAGCCUGAUGCAGCCAUGCCGCGUGGGUGAAGAAGGCCUUCGGGUUGUAAAGCCCUUUUGUUGGGAAAGAAAUCCAGCCGGUUAAUACCCUUGUGGAUUGACGGUACCCAAAGAAUAAGCACCGGCUAACUUCGUGCCAGCAGCCGCGGUAAUACGA